UACGUAGGGGGCGAGCGUUGUCCGGAGUUACUGGGCGUAAAGCGCACGCAGGCGGUCUGCUAAGUUUGGAGUGACAGUUGGUGGCUUAACUGCCAAAGUGCUUCGAAAACUGACAGACUUGAGGGCUUCAGAGGGACACGGAAUUCCGGGUGGAGUGGUGAAAUGCGUAGAGAUCGGGAAGAACACCAGUGGCGAAGGCGGCCGGCUGGGGGUGCCCUGACGCUGAGGCGCGAGAGCGUGGGGAGCGAACCGG
This 253-nucleotide ribosomal RNA is filed under the name uncultured bacterium. RNAcentral's name for it is "partial 16S ribosomal RNA". It matches the Rfam family "Bacterial small subunit ribosomal RNA", at positions 524 to 776 of the family's 1533-position model. The record is from RNAcentral.